GGAGGUAGUUGCAAUAAAUCACAAUGCGGAACAAUGUUUUGCAAUUGGAUUGAGAACAACGUACAAACCUUAUCGAUAAACAAUUGGAGGGCAAGUCUGGUGCCAGCAGCCGCGGUAAUUCCAGCUCCAAUAGCGUAUAUUAACGUUGUUGCAGUUAAAAAGCUCGUAGUUGAAAUGAAGGGUAGUUGUGUAAUGAAUACAUUCGUGUAUUUUGUUAUUCAACUACCCUCCUUCUAAAUUCGAUAUAUGAGUAUUAAUUUACUUGUAUAUGGUUUUAGACGUUUACUGUGAGAAAAUUAGAGUGUUCAAAGCAGGCAUUUGCUUGAAUAUAUUAGCAUGGAAUAAUCAUGUAUGAUUUUCAUGAUGUAUUUGAUUGGUUUGGUUCAUGAGAAUAAGAUUAAAAGGGACAGUUGGGGGUAUUCAUAUUCAAUAGUCAGAGGUGAAAUUCUCGGAUUUAUGGAAGAUGAACAUGGCCGAAAGC
Molecule: ribosomal RNA, 481 nt
Filed under: Blastocystis sp.
Lineage: Eukaryota; Bigyra; Opalinata; Blastocystidae
Description: SSU rRNA
Rfam family: Eukaryotic small subunit ribosomal RNA
Source: RNAcentral